This 253-nucleotide ribosomal RNA is filed under the name uncultured bacterium. Its description in RNAcentral is "partial 16S ribosomal RNA". It matches the Rfam family "Bacterial small subunit ribosomal RNA", at positions 524 to 776 of the family's 1533-position model. The record is from RNAcentral.
UACGGGGGGGGCGAGCGUUGUUCGGAAUUACUGGGCGUAAAGGGCUCGUAGGCGGCCAACUAAGUCAGACGUGAAAUCCCUCGGCUUAACCGGGGAACUGCCUCUGAUACUGGAUGGCUUGAGAUUGGGAGAGGGAUGCGGAAUUCCAGGUGUAGCGGUGAAAUGCGUAGAUAUCUGGAGGAACACCGGUGGCGAAGGCGGCAUCCUGGACCAACACUGACGCUGAGGAGCGAAAGCCAGGGGGGCAAACGGG